GUAGGCUAUGGAGACAUCUACCCACAAACACUCCUUGGCAAAAUAGUCGGUGGACUGUGCUGCAUUGCGGGUGUGCUAGUCAUCGCCCUGCCUAUUCCCAUCAUUGUGAAUAAC
Scleropages formosus (Asian bonytongue) is the source of this 114-nucleotide regulatory RNA element. It matches the Rfam family "Potassium channel RNA editing signal". Rfam says of the family: This family represents a group of sequences related to the human potassium channel Kv1.1 hairpin element which directs the efficient modification of an adenosine to inosine by an adenosine deaminase acting on RNA (ADAR). The ADAR modification causes an isoleucine/valine recoding event which lies in the ion-conducting pore of the potassium channel. The record is from Rfam. Lineage: Eukaryota; Metazoa; Chordata; Actinopteri; Osteoglossiformes; Osteoglossidae.